This 2101-nucleotide long non-coding RNA is filed under the name Oreochromis niloticus (Nile tilapia). RNAcentral's name for it is "lncRNA (ENSONIG00000030162.1)". The record is from RNAcentral. Lineage: Eukaryota; Metazoa; Chordata; Actinopteri; Cichliformes; Cichlidae.
GAGACAUCUCAGCUCCUACCAGUGGUCCUGGCAGGACACCUCCUACCUCCUCCUCCUCCUCGACCACAAACUCUCAGCUUUGCCUCACUUGAUGCACAGCGGCGCGAAGAAGUCCUAGAAGAAAUAAGACUCGGAAAGCAGUUGGCACCUACCAACGGAGGUCUUCUUCAUCUGUCCGGAGCUGAGAAAGUCCGCCCAAGUGCGAGCAGACGCACAGCUGCAGAGGGACAGUGGAUCCAGGACAGAGCUACAAAGACCGAGGGUAGGACACACACACACACACACACACACACACACACAAUCAUACUCAUACUUUUCAUUGAUUUAUGCGUUUCAGCCUCUGUAAUAAUUCAUGUGCUGACUUUGUGUGUUGGCAAAGUUAUUUGGUUUGGUGACAGAGCAGGGAUAACACUGGGUGGGGGGAAUCUACAUUUUGCAUUCAUCUCUAUUUCGAGACAAAUCCCCACGAGAUAUAAUUUCUCCUUCUGUGUUUUUUUUUUUUUUUCUGCAGUGACUUCACACAUUCCUCCCAUUCAGACUAUUUUUAUUGUUUCCCCACCCUGCAGGUUGUGUGUAAUCUGGAAAUAAUCGGUAUAAUUUGCACAUUAAGGAUGAAAUCUAAUGUCAGCUUUUAGCAAAAUUUCUCGUUACUUUUGCUAUUACUCCUCCGCCUGCAGACACCGCACAACGGGAAGCACUGCAUCGCUUCAUGAGUCCAAAUUCUGUCAUGAAUAUUCUGCAUCAAGGCUCUGAAGGAUGGGUCUUGGCUACAUGUUUGCCAUAUGCGUUGAAGCCGAGUCAGAUUGAGUAAGUUUGGCACCCAGAAAAAGACCGUGUACCACAAAUGAAUUCAAGUCAUUUUAGCCUCUAAGUUCAAGUAUGUACCUGAGUUAUUCUGGUUCUAUCUGUGAUUACUGCAGACGAAGCGACACAUUCUAAUAGGACAUCAGGGCUCAUUAUAGAGACAGCCACGAGCAAUUAAUGUCCUACCUGUCAACAUUUAUCAUUGUUAAGGAGUCCUCAAUUAAAAAUGAUAAAUACUUUCCAUCCUUUGGUGAUUUAAUUCUGUCAGCAUGUUUGCAAAACUAUUUUCUAGGGAACUGAGCUGUGGGCAAACAUCUCGGUUAAUCAGGGCUCUUUUUACUGCUGUGCAUACGCACUUACGAUAAUUAUACACAUGCGGACACACACGCUACUCAGAAGUUCUUGGCCUUGGUGGAGUGGAAUUGUAUUUCUGUUGUUUUCCAGUGCAGCCGUUUCUCGGGAACUGUAAGGCUGUGAAGCUUCUGUGAAUGUUCAGUGAUGAUGAAAGCUGUUACGGACAGAAUAAAUUCCCACUGUUGAUAAGAGUGAUUGGGGGGGGGGGAUGAUUGUUUCUGAAGGAGCAGUCAUUAUCACCGUUAUUGUGAUGGAAAUUUGAAGCAGCAUGCCAUUACAGCGAUGCCGCAAAAACCUAGAUCUGUGCUUUUUCUCUUGAUGAUAUUCCAUCAGUGCAUCAUUUAUUCUCAUUGCCUGCAUGCAAAGAGAUUUAUAAUUUUUUUUAAAAAGUGGGGGUCUGUGUUCUGCUCGUGAUGUCUGCAUAGCGAGAUUAAUUAUCCCCUUCAUCAGUUUCUGUUUUUGUUAUAUGGAAACUACCUCUGCUGCGUGCGAAGUUGAAUUUCCAAUACUGAACACACUUUUUAAAAAAGACACUUGUGGAAUGGCAUCCUGAUGCGCUGCACAUUUUAAAAUCCUAUCCUGCAGCAUGGCAAUCAGUUCUAAUGGGUAAAAUGAGCUUUUUAGCGCGCGAGGGUCAAUUUCCUGUCGUGCUGGUGUGUUUGUGGUUGCUACAUUUUAAUUUGAGCAAUAAACCGAAACCUUCAUUUCUUAAAAUUCCAUUACUGUGAAAAUAAAAAAACUCCAAUGAUGGAAAAUGUUGUUAAAGGUUGCACAUUUCUUUUCCUGUCUUUUUUUCCAGGCCACAAAGGAAGACUGCUUUAAAGACUGCCUGAGCUUAAGGAUUAGGGAAAACUCUUAUUUAAAAUUCAAAUAUUAUUCAUAAAAUAAUUACAGCAGGUGCUGCAAUACAAUCUGGUUCGAUUAGUCCUCCGUGUUCGAAGCG